Molecule: ribosomal RNA, 496 nt
Filed under: uncultured bacterium
Lineage: Bacteria
Description: bacterial SSU rRNA
Rfam family: Bacterial small subunit ribosomal RNA
Source: RNAcentral
GACGAACGCUGGCGGCGUGCCUAACACAUGCAAGUCGAGCGGGGGUACUGAAGAGCAAUCGGAGGUACUCGAGCGGCGGACGGGUGAGUAACGCGUGAGCAACCUGCCUUCUACUGGGGGAUAACGCAGCGAAAGCUGCACUAAUACCGCAUGAGACCACGGGGCCGAUGGUUCUGGGGGUCAAAGGAGCAAUCCGGUGGAAGAUGGGCUCGCGUCCGAUUAGGUAGUUGGCGGGGUAACGGCCCACCAAGCCAAAGAUCGGUAGCCGGCCUGAGAGGGUGAACGGCCACAUUGGAACUGAGAGACGGUCCAAACUCCUACGGGAGGCAGCAGUGGGGAAUAUUGGGCAAUGGGGGAAACCCUGACCCAGCAACGCCGCGUGAGGGAAGAAGGUUUUCGGAUUGUAAACCUCUGUUCUUGGUGAAGAGAAGAAGACGGUAACCGAGGAGGAAGCCCCGGCUAACUACGUGCCAGCAGCCGCGGUAAUGUCUGUACU